GAAGUUGUGGCUCAGCGUUAGAGUACUCGCCUGGCAAGUGUGGGGCACUGGGUUCGAUCCUCAGCAUCA
Molecule: transfer RNA, 69 nt
Filed under: Ictidomys tridecemlineatus (thirteen-lined ground squirrel)
Lineage: Eukaryota; Metazoa; Chordata; Mammalia; Rodentia; Sciuridae
Description: Spermophilus tridecemlineatus (thirteen-lined ground squirrel) tRNA
Rfam family: tRNA
About the family: Transfer RNA (tRNA) molecules are approximately 80 nucleotides in length.
Source: Rfam by way of RNAcentral